UACGUAGGGUGCGAGCGUUGUCCGGAAUUAUUGGGCGUAAAGAGCUUGUAGGCGGUCUGUCGCGUCGAUCGUGAAAACUUGGGGCUUAACCCUGAGCUUGCGGUCGAUACGGGCAUGACUGGAGUUCGGCAGGGGAGACUGGAAUUCCUGGUGUAGCGGUGAAAUGCGCAGAUAUCAGGAGGAACACCGGUGGCGAAGGCGGGUCUCUGGGCCGAUACUGACGCUGAGGAGCGAAAGCGUGGGGAGCGAACAGG
RNAcentral lists this ribosomal RNA (254 nucleotides) under uncultured bacterium. Its description in RNAcentral is "partial 16S ribosomal RNA". It matches the Rfam family "Bacterial small subunit ribosomal RNA", at positions 524 to 776 of the family's 1533-position model. The record is from RNAcentral.